CCUACGGGUGGCAGCAGUGAGGAAUAUUGGUCAAUGGACGCAAGUCUGAACCAGCCAUGCCGCGUGCAGGAAGACGGCUCUAUGAGUUGUAAACUGCUUUUGUACGAGGGUAAACGCAGAUACGCGUAUCUGUCUGAAAGUAUCGUACGAAUAAGGAUCGGCUAACUCCGUGCCAGCAGCCGCGGUAAUACGGAGGAUUCAAGCGUUAUCCGGAUUUAUUGGGUUUAAAGGGUGCGUAGGCGGUCGGAUAAGUUAGAGGUGAAAUCCCGAGGCUCAACUUCGGAAUUGCCUCUGAUACUGUUCGGCUAGAGAGUAGUUGCGGUAGGCGGAAUGUAUGGUGUAGCGGUGAAAUGCUUAGAGAUCAUACAGAACACCGAUUGCGAAGGCAGCUUACCAAGCUACUUCUGACGUUGAGGCACGAAAGCGUGGGGAGCAUACAGGAUUAGAUACCCUUGUAGUC
This 460-nucleotide ribosomal RNA is filed under the name uncultured bacterium. RNAcentral's name for it is "partial 16S ribosomal RNA". It matches the Rfam family "Bacterial small subunit ribosomal RNA", at positions 338 to 795 of the family's 1533-position model. The record is from RNAcentral.